UGAACGCUGGCGGCGUGCUUAACACAUGCAAGUGCGCGGUGAUCUCAAGAAGUUUCGGACGGAAAGGGAGAGCAGCAGCGGACGGGUGAGUAAAGCACAAGGACUUGUCCCGAAGAGGGGGACAACUGUGGGAAACCACAGCUAAUACCCCAUAAGCCGAGAGGUGAAAGCAGCGAUGCGCUUUAGGAGAGACUUGUGUCCUAUCAGGUAGUUGGUGAGGUAACGGCUCACCAAGCCGAAGACGGGUAGCCGGACUGAGAGGUUGUACGGCCACAUUGGAACUGAGAGACGGUCCAGACUCCUACGGGAGGCAGCAGUGGGGAAUAUUGGGCAAUGGGGGCAACCCUGACCCAGCGACGCCGCGUGAGGGAAGACAGCCUUCGGGUUGUAAACCUCUGUUGCAGGGGAAGAAGAAAGUGACGGUACCCUGCGAGGAAGCUCCGGCAAACUACGUGCCAGCCGCCGC
RNAcentral lists this ribosomal RNA (466 nucleotides) under uncultured bacterium. Its description in RNAcentral is "bacterial SSU rRNA". It matches the Rfam family "Bacterial small subunit ribosomal RNA", at positions 30 to 518 of the family's 1533-position model. The record is from RNAcentral.